RNAcentral lists this unclassified non-coding RNA (215 nucleotides) under Hevea brasiliensis (rubber tree). The record is from RNAcentral. Lineage: Eukaryota; Viridiplantae; Streptophyta; Magnoliopsida; Malpighiales; Euphorbiaceae.
AAUUAUUCUCUCUACACAUAAAAAUUUAUUUUCUCUGUAGAGAGUAGAAGGAUUCAAUUUACACAUGACUUAAGAGAGGAAAAACAAGUGAUAACUAAGCAUUACGCUAGAACUGUCUAGUCAACGUCUAAAUGAAAAACUGGUAAUUGAAUAUUAGAGUGAUUUUAUUGUGUAAAAUUAGAAAGUUGAGGGAGUUUUAUGUUACAUUUUUAAAU